RNAcentral lists this long non-coding RNA (582 nucleotides) under Anas platyrhynchos platyrhynchos (common mallard). RNAcentral describes it as "lncRNA (ENSAPLG00000027965.1)". Lineage: Eukaryota; Metazoa; Chordata; Aves; Anseriformes; Anatidae. The record is from RNAcentral.
GAGGUGGUUGCAUUACAGAAACUGGAAUAUCCCCUCUACCAUUGCUUCCCCCAUAUUCUUCCAUUUCCUAGACCUUAAGGUUGAAAGUGAUUAGAGGAGAGGUAGAAGGAAUGGUGCUAAUCUUUUUGGUAAGUAUUUUCCAUUCAUUGUAGUGCUGAAGUGUGAUUAAAAUUUUAAAGCAGGUAGCCGAAGCCUGGCAUUAGUCUCUGUCUGUUGUUCGGUGAUAACAUUUUCCUGGAUUUCUCCCAGACUCAUUAAACGUCAUCAGUCACAGGCAAAUCUAACAAGGGCUUGUUGGAAGAGAACUCUGCUGGACUGAAAUAUUAAGCAGCGAUCGUUCGUGCCACAGACAUGAGCCACUAAUAUUUUUUUGUUAGCCAGUUACAAGGGUGCCUCACAACCUAGAGAGCCAAAAGUGACAACCUCUCCUGGUGUUUUCCUUCUGCUGUGCACUUCCACAGAGUCUGAAAAGAAGAGGAGGGAUUUCAGGAGCUGUCCCCUCGAUCAUCUUGUCCUCAGCUGAGGCAGGGAGAAAAAGGAGGUGAAGCUAAGGAAAAAUAAAUGAUAUUCAUAGUUAAAGCA